This 103-nucleotide small nuclear RNA is filed under the name Symbiodinium microadriaticum. The record is from RNAcentral. Lineage: Eukaryota; Dinophyceae; Suessiales; Symbiodiniaceae.
GAACCACAAGGUCCUCCGAUAAAAAUUGGAACGAUACAGAGAAGAUUAGCACAGCCCCUGCGCCAGGAUACCAUGCACAACUCAGGAAGUGUACCAAAACCCG